RNAcentral lists this ribosomal RNA (513 nucleotides) under uncultured bacterium. RNAcentral describes it as "partial 16S ribosomal RNA". It matches the Rfam family "Bacterial small subunit ribosomal RNA", at positions 28 to 523 of the family's 1533-position model. The record is from RNAcentral.
GAUGAACGCUGGCGGCGUGCCUAAUACAUGCAAGUCGAGCGAACAGACGAGGAGCUUGCUCCUUUGACGUUAGCGGCGGACGGGUGAGUAACACGUGGGUAACCUACCUAUAAGACUGGGAUAACUUCGGGAAACCGGAGCUAAUACCGGACAAUAUUUCGAACCGCAUGGUUCGAUAGUGAAAGAUGGCUCUGCUAUCACUUAUAGAUGGACCUGCGCCGUAUUAGCUAGUUGGUAAGGUAACGGCUUACCAGGGCAACGAUACGUAGCCGACCUGAGAGGGUGAUCGGCCACACUGGAACUGAGACACGGUCCAGACUCCUACGGGAGGCAGCAGUAGGGAAUCUUCCGCAAUGGGCGAAAGCCUGACGGAGCAACGCCGCGUGAGUGAUGAAGGUCUUCGGAUCGUAAAACUCUGUUAUUAGGGAAGAACAAACGUGUAAGUAACUGUGCACGUCUUGACGGUACCUAAUCAGAAAGCCACGGCUAACUACGUGCCAGCCGCCGCGGUAA